This is a non-coding RNA of Ictidomys tridecemlineatus (thirteen-lined ground squirrel), 1272 nucleotides long. The record is from RefSeq and is a predicted model, not a curated record. NCBI's taxonomy places the organism in Eukaryota, Metazoa, Chordata, Mammalia, Rodentia, Sciuridae.
GGAGACUUGAUGUGGUCUACAGGUGUGGAGAAGGGUACACGAGACCUGGGGUGGGCCAUCUGGUAAAAACCCACCGCCCUUGGCUGAAACCUGGCUGGAAAUGUGGAAGCUAACCCUGGGUGGUCUUGGAUUCCUGGUACCAAAGGUCUUCCUAAAGGACUGAGAGGUCGGAGGGAGGUUGGGAAGGAAGACACCCCAACAUCGGACCCUCGACCUGAAGUCCAAGUUCCCAUGUGGUGCAGGGAGACCCGGCCUGAGGGAAGAAUGUGAAUCACCCGACGUAGCCAUCCCGAACCGACUCCACCUGUUGUCCCAGACAAGCAGCCUGCGCAUUCCCACACCCUGUUCUCCCGGGAGGACAGAGAGGCAGGGAAUGUCAGGAGUGACCCCGACGACGCGCUCCACUUAGGCAACAGCGCAUCCUGCUCCUUCCGGAGGCCUGGCUCACCCUGAAGCCCAGCCCUGGGUCCCUAUAAAUGUGUCCCUGUGGCUGGCUCCUCAGGGAAGCCUCUGCAGUGUGUCUGGGAGCCGGGUCUCCCCCAACCCCACCAAGACGUCCUGUCAGCAAAGCCAGCAGCAGUGCCAGCCCCCUCCCAAAUGUCCCACUCCCAAAUGUCCCCCUAAGUGUCCCCCCAAGUGCCCAGCCCCUUGCUCACCUCCGGUCUCUUCCUGCUGCGGUUCCGGAGGUGGGGGCUGCUGCCUGAGCCACCACCAGCCCCGCAGGUCUCUCCGUCACCGUCGCCGACACCAGGGCUCUGGCUGCUGCGGCAGUGGUGGUGGCUGCUGUGGCGGCAGCGGUGGGGGGGGGCCAGCAGAGAGGGGGCUCGGGCGGCUGCUCUGGAGGCUGCUGCUGAGCUGGGCCAGGAGAUCCCUGAAGAACAGGACUCACCUAAAGGGCAAAGGACUAUCCCAGCCUGGAGGGUGACCUCCGCCUCCCUCCUCUGCUCUCCUCUGUCUCCAUCCAUCCAAUAACCCUGCAAGGCUGGCUUCUCAGAGGCCACCACAGCUCUGCGCAUUUUGUGAACUUGUCCUCUUUUGCCUUAUGCCAAUAUCUACAUUCAUAAGAUCAUCGAAAAUAUCCUGAAGCAAGUGCUUCACAACAGUCAGUUUACUUUAAGCCUCAAUACGACUUUUCUUAAAAAAAAAAAAAUCACUUUUUUCCUUUUAUCUAAAUUCUAGUGCUUCUUGGAUAGGAAAAGAGAUUUUUUUUUUUUAAAACUGGAUUGGUGGAAAAUCAGUCUAAUAAACAUUAAUAAAUUACUUCUUUUAAAA